Molecule: ribosomal RNA, 435 nt
Filed under: uncultured prokaryote
Description: bacterial SSU rRNA
Rfam family: Bacterial small subunit ribosomal RNA
Source: RNAcentral
UCAGAGUGAACGCUGGCGGCGUGCUUAACACAUGCAAGUCGAACGAGAACGGUCCUAGCUUGCUAGGAUGUCAGCUAAGUGGCGGACGGGUGAGUAAUGUAUAGUUAAUCUGCCCUUUAGAGAGGGAUAACUACUGGAAACGGUAGCUAAUACCUCAUACUCCUUCUACCUUAAUGGUAGUUGGGAAAUGUUUUUUCGCUAAAGGAUGAGACUAUAUGGUAUCAGGUAGUUGGUGGGGUAAGAGCCUACCAAGCCUAUGACGCCUAGCUGGUCUGAGAGGAUGAUCAGCCACACUGGAACUGAGACACGGUCCAGACUCCUACGGGAGGCAGCAGUGGGGAAUAUUGCACAAUGGAGGAAACUCUGAUGCAGCAACGCCGCGUGGAGGAUGACACAUUUCGGUGCGUAAACUCCUUUUAUAUGGGAAGAUAAUGN